This 467-nucleotide ribosomal RNA is filed under the name uncultured bacterium. Its description in RNAcentral is "partial 16S ribosomal RNA". It matches the Rfam family "Bacterial small subunit ribosomal RNA", at positions 28 to 507 of the family's 1533-position model. The record is from RNAcentral.
GACGAACGCUGGCGGCGUGCUUAACACAUGCAAGUCGAACGGAAAGGCCCUGCUUUUGUGGGGUGUUCGAGUGGCGAACGGGUGAGUAACACGUGAGUAACCUGCCCUUGACUUUGGGAUAACUUCAGGAAACUGGGGCUAAUACCGGAUAGGAGCUCCUGCUGCAUGGUGGGGGUUGGAAAGUUUCGGCGGUUGGGGAUGGACUGGCGGCUUAUCAGCUUGUUGGUGGGGUAGUGGCUUACCAAGGCUUUGACGGGUAGCCGGCCUGAGAGGGAGAGCGGCAACGUGGGAACUGAGAUACGGCGCAGACGCGUACGGGAGGCAGCAGUGGGGAAUAUUCCACAAUGGGCGAAAGCCGGGUGCGGCAACGCCGCGUGCGGGAGGACGCCCUCGGUUUGUAAACCGCUUUCGCCUGUGACGAAGCGUGAGUGACGGUAAUGGGUAAAGAAGCACCGGCUAACUACGUG